AUGUCCUCAGCCCAAAAAAUUGAUGUCUGCAACCAAAUUACAAAAGCUGUGAACACGUAUUUGACUGAUAAACCUUUACCGAAGCCUUACAGACUGAUGCUAAUCGCACAGCAGCAAUUAACAGCAACAAAUAAUGGUGUCGAGAGCUACAACCCACCUGUUUCACCUCCGUCGGAUGAACCAAUUCCCAUCACAGUAGCUACCUCCCUACCGUCAAAUGUUACAGGGGCGUCUGCUGACGCAUGCUACAUAUCUCUCCACCGUGGGCUCAGCAAUGGAAAGAAUCCGGACGGUGAGAGCAGCCCCGACGGCGACUGCGGGAACCAUAGCCCUGGCGAAGGCGGCGGCGGCAUGGGCCCUGGCCCCAGGAUCCCUGUUCCUGGCAGCGGUGACAACAUGGGGAAGUUCGGCGUGAGCGGAGGGGGUUGCUGGAAUCCCGGCGAGAGGAGCGGGUAG
RNAcentral lists this ribosomal RNA (456 nucleotides) under Triticum aestivum (bread wheat). RNAcentral's name for it is "partial small subunit ribosomal RNA". Lineage: Eukaryota; Viridiplantae; Streptophyta; Magnoliopsida; Poales; Poaceae. The record is from RNAcentral.